Molecule: ribosomal RNA, 409 nt
Filed under: uncultured Wolbachia sp.
Lineage: Bacteria; Pseudomonadati; Pseudomonadota; Alphaproteobacteria; Rickettsiales; Anaplasmataceae
Description: bacterial SSU rRNA
Rfam family: Bacterial small subunit ribosomal RNA
Source: RNAcentral
GGUGGAGUAAUAGCCUACCNAGGCAAUGAUCUAUAGCUGAUCUGAGAGGNUGAUCAGCCNCACUGGAACUGAGAUACGGUCCAGACUUCUACGGGAGGCAGCAGUGGGGAAUAUUGGACAAUGGGCGAAAGCCUGAUCCAGCCAUGUCGCAUGAGUGAAGAAGGCCUUUGGGUUGUAAAGCUCUUUUAGUGAGGAAGAUAAUGACGGUACUCACAGAAGAAGUCCUGGCUAACUCCGUGCCAGCAGCCGCGGUAAUACGGAGAGGGCUAGCGUUAUUCGGAAUUAUUGGGCGUAAAGGGCGCGUAGGCUGAUUAAUAAGUUAAAAGUGAAAUCCCGAGGCUUAACCUUGGAAUUGCUUUUAAAACUAUUAAUCUAGAGAUUGAAAGAGGAUAGAGGAAUUCCUGAUGUA